This 27-nucleotide non-coding RNA is filed under the name Mus musculus (house mouse). The record is from RNAcentral. Lineage: Eukaryota; Metazoa; Chordata; Mammalia; Rodentia; Muridae.
UGGUGUACUGGAAUGACAGCUGUGAGA